CAGUAAUGACAGCAGCAGCGGCAGUAGUAGCGGGUCAAAGAAGAGUGACAGCGCAGCCGGAAACGGAAACGGAACUGUUGGCGAAGCACGUGUGCAGCCGCUACGAGAUGCGGCUGCGGUGCGACGAUGGUGAGCUGGUGGCCAUCCACGACGCCAUGUACGCCAGCGAACCGCCGCCGGACGCGCCGCCGGCGAGACCCGGCUGCGGGCCGAUCUUCGAGACGACGCAAGACGGAGCCGCAGUCACAUCCACAUCCACAGCCCCAAGCCCGUGCGAGCAGGACCUCCGUCUGGCGAUCAACAGCAGGUGUUCAGGCGAGGUGCACUGCCUGUUCAGCCUGAGCCGGGACCAGGCCGAGCGGCGUUGCAGAGGCGAGGGCUCGCUGCUGGUGCGAUAUCGAUGCCUGAACGAGCGUUCGCUGAUGCAAAAGUGCGGUGCGCACGUUCGCUCCCCCACCGAGGGCUACCUCUCGUCUCCCGGCUUCCCGCACUUCUACCCUGCGCUGUCCAACUGCUCCUGGCUCCUGGAGGCCUCUCCGGGACAAACCAUCAUGCUCAGGAUACUCGACCUCUCCAUCAGGCCGCCCAGGCCGGGGGCUCCGGGUCCUUUGUUCGACUCCCUGAGCGAGUCCGACUGCGCCGAGGAUGCGCUGAGCGUGCUCGAGUCCGGCCGGCCUCUGCUCGUCGCCUGCGGGGAGUCGCGACUCAGCCUUCGAACUCUGCGCUCCACGGGGCGCCGACUGGUGGUCCGCUUUCGCACCAGGAGCUUCGUGCCGGCCAGGGGAUUCCUGCUCAAGUACAAGUUCAUGGGUUGUCCAACGCCGGCGGCGCCUCAAUUGGGGUACCUGGUGCACCGCGCCGAGGAGACGGCGCUGUACAAGUGCUGCAAGGACCACAUGUUCAACGACACGCAGGCGGACACCAGGACGCUGGUGUGCCUCCGUGGGAACACGUGGAACGACAGUGUACCGGAGACCUGCACGCCACGCCUACCCGUGCCGUGGAACGACACCGUCGUGGAGGAAGAAGAGGAGGAACCGCUUCUUCAGGGUCGCAAGGAGCGUGACGACGAUGACGAAGCUGGUUUCCUCUCCACGCAGUUUCUUGCAGAUGUCCUGGUGCCUUGCUUGGCCAUGGUGUUCCUGCUGCUGGGAAAUGCUGUCGUCGUUGUCAUCAUUUUCAAACUAAAAAGGAAGCGACGGCGGCGACUGGCCAGCGUCGUUCACCAACCGGACAUCGCCCUGCUCGUGCCACCGCAGCCGACCGAACCGCCGCCCUGGAAGCACGGCUGAUCGACGGAGCCAGCCGAGCCGCAGUCACUGCGACCACACACUGCGGAGUUCGGCACCCGGCAACAACACACGCGAGAUGCAACUCAAGCAGGCGCGAACGCGCCCUCGAGUACGAGCGUUAUCAAAAAUGGCGGGGUCUAGCAGGGCCGAAAUGCCAGCGCGAUUGACGGCUUCGUUGAAGAGGCAGUCAAAGUGAAAGCCUUUGAUGUCGAGGUCCUGAGGGUAGAAGGUCUACAAGGUGCUGACCCCCGAGAGCUACAUUCUUCGAGGAAGAUGCUUUAACUAGAUGAGACGCUGUAGAAGCGACCUCUGAAGGGACGGGCUUUCAAAGGGGCAAGGUCUUGAAGGGCAAGAGCUCUUUGCUUGGGUAGGAAACCUUCGAUCGAGGAAUAUGCUAGGAGCGAUUUCUUUCAAGGGCAAGUCUGGAGGCAGAUAUUCUCCGAAGGCAUGCCUAAUGAACCAAGUCCCUCUGGAGGCGCAUCCUUUAGGGUGUCUGCAAGAAGCAAUUCCUUGAAGGAAUGUGUCCUUCGAAGACGCGCUUUCGGAGACAAGUCGAGGUAUACGUUCACUGAAGGCUUGCCUUAAGAAGCACGUCUCUGUAGAGCCAUAUUCUCUAAAAGUGUCCGCGAGAAGCAAUUCCUGGAAGGUAUGCGUCCAGCAAGGACAAUUCUGCGGAGACAAAUUGUUGGAGGUCCACAACCCUCGAGGACAAGCAUUGGGAGGCAGGGCUUAUAUUCUACUAUGUCCACAAGAAGCAACUCCUGCAAAGAUUACGCCUUCAUGAACAAGCAUUUGGGGACAAGUCGUUAAGCAAACGUCCUCAAUGGGCAGGCGUACGCAAGCUGUAAUGAGCAAAGCCAUGUCAUCUAAUGAAUCUGCAAGGAGCGAAUCCUUGUAGGUAUACUUCCUUCAAGAACAAGCCUUUGGAGACAAAUUGUUUGAGGGACACCUCCUCUAAAGGCAAGAUAUAGGAAGCAAUCCUUUGUAGAGGCAUGUCUUGCGCUAAUUGUUCUGAACGACCGUACGGAAUCCCGCAUUUGAAGCGAAAUGUCGUAGAGGUCAGAAAGUGUGGGGUCGGCCAUGGAAGUAAGCCUUCGAGAUUCGUGUCCUCACUGUUUCCUCCAUUCUCGGAGGCUAUACACUCGCAGAUGUCGCGCGUCGCGGGGCAGGCCAUCCACUGCCCACAGUUAUAUACCACUGCCGUGUCUUGAUCGCCACAAGCGGCGCUGCUGACAAACUGGUGCUCACAGCCACUGUCAAAAAAGCGCGAAUCAAAUCUUAUACGCUUUCAGAACGGAAAGGGAAGCACAUCCGAACAAAAGCUACACAGUCAACAGUCAAACCGGUGGUGUCUGGUCCGAAAUCAGCGCUGUGUGAUUACCUUCGGCGAAGUACCACGUUUCGAAUCAGGUUACAAGCAGCUAAACGCUUCGCACACACAUAAUGACCGCUAUUUCGUUAGUUGCUCUAUUUUUUUGUCGCUACGGUGGAUGGGUGACGAAGACGCUAACUAUUCGCGGCAGCAAUGUUCCACAAAGCACGAAAUGACAAUCUUUUUCGAUACUCUCUUAAUGUAAGCCGACGACGAUGAUCAGCUGGAUAUAUAUUGUUGAAUUUCUACACUCCAAGAACAGUGUUGCGGAAACUCCUUUUUCGAGAUUAACCCUUUUUCUCGUACUUUAAACUAUUCGUGAAAGUUAUUCUUCUCUAAAGAGAGAGAGACAGAAAGAAAGAAAAAAAGAAAAGUAGUUUAACGAAAGCUGUGAAUAUCAGUCGUAUUAUAUGAGGGCUUACUAUGUACUACAUAGAUGUAAUUGAAAUUAGAUGAAAAGAAAACAGUAAAAUUAAUAAUAAUAUUGGCAAGAAAAUGGCACUAUCAAGCUCGCAUGGCGAAAGUUAGAACCAUUUCGAUAGGUACUCACUAGUGUAAUAAGUAGAUAAUGAGGGACUUAAGAAAAUCACUAGUGUGCAAUUGUGCUCGUAACGCAUUUGACCAAUCUGCCUAUUGCAACGCAGAGCACAUUGACUAUUUCUGAAGUAGUAAGGCUCGCUAUAUUGUGUUUAAGGAUAUAAAAUACUGAAAUGAUAGAAGUUUCCAAAAACACCAUUUUUUCAGCUUGGAAUGUAAGAACAGUAAUCAGUAGCAGCGAUGCAUUUAACGUUGCGCAUCUCUUUACGAUAGCUUUAGAUAUUUUACUCUGUCCAAACAUUUCCCGAAUCCUCUAGCGUAUCCCGGUAGGCUGUGCCGGAAUACCGCAAUAAUUCCUCCGCGUGAAUAUAUUAAUUUCUUAUCAUACACUGCUCAUCUAUGAUUGGCUGAUCAUGGCUAUGAGGUAGGCGGUGCGCCGCUUCUAACACCGACGAAGUGACCAAAGGAAUUGCAAGCAAAAUCUUUACUCCAUAUGGCCCCGGUAUAGUUUGUCAUUGUGUUGAGGACUAACAUGCAAUGGAACGCUAGCCAACGAAUGCGGACUCUACUGCGUUCCGCCAUAGAGCAAGAAAAACUUAGGAAGGAGCAUUACGUCACGCAGCCAGCCUAGGCAAGCGAACGCUCAAUUAAGCCAGCAGUGUUGGCCGAACACGUGACUUUUUGCGUCCGCAUCACCCAAGAAAGGAGUUUUGCCGAGAGUCAGGGGUUCGGCGCCCGGUAGCUUUUAAUCGAAGUCCUCUUGUUCGGUCGGCUCAAGGAGUAGUUCCAAACAAAAGAAAACCGGAAGUACUGAAACCUACCGCGCGCUCCGACGUUUCGAUCAUGCGUUGGGCCGACACAGUAGGCUUCAAUCGCGUUGCGCAUUGCUUCCUCCUGUUUCCUUCCUUCACGUGUUCCGCCAUAGUUACGUUUUAAGCCAAUCAGAGAGAGCGCAGACACCCGGUGAGCCAAUCAGAACGGACAUGGCGAUGUCUGACAGUAAUGGUGAGAAAUCGCAGCAUUCAGCACAGCCACGCCUGACCACUUAUUCGCCCGCUUUUCCCGCAUCGCCUAUCGUCCAAAUGCCCGCAUUUGUUUCUUCAGAGAUACAGAAAGCGAAUGCACAUAUAUAUGCAAGGUCAUUCCAGAGAACACUUCACCGGUACUUCACGCAACCUCUAGUCGAUUUGUUCCAGCUCUCUAUAUAUAGAUACAUAUAUUUCAAUACACACGUGGAGAUCCGUUUAUUUUAUUCCAUCUAUGACACAUAGUGACGAAGGGUAUGCAAAUGGAAACGUAUUAAUAUAUGGGUAAUACAAGUGUUACGUAGAGCCGUAGGUUGGCGUUGUGAGGGAGCGUUGCCAAGAUCACUG
Molecule: RNA transcript, 4574 nt
Organism: Rhipicephalus sanguineus (brown dog tick)
Lineage: Eukaryota; Metazoa; Arthropoda; Arachnida; Ixodida; Ixodidae
Exons: 9
Source: RefSeq, a predicted model, not a curated record